UGCAAAUUGCCACCACUCUCCUCCUAGAGACAGAUGACUUGACAAACAUCUGUCUUUUCUGCGGCGAAGAAGAGCAUGAAACUGACAACAAAUGGAUUCAGUGUGAGAUGUGUUUGCGGUGGUUCCACCAGCUCUGCGUGAAAAGCCCACCACCAGAAGACGUGUUUAUUUGUUUCGCUUGUACAUAGUUGACACUAAAGGUGCACAGCUAGUGUUCUUAUGGCACACAUUGUUGAGAACACACAUAUCGACAUAUAUAUAUAUGUAGAUGUUAAAUUAAGAAGUCUAAAAAAAGAAAAUGGUCUCCAAAG
Molecule: long non-coding RNA, 311 nt
Organism: Oreochromis aureus
Lineage: Eukaryota; Metazoa; Chordata; Actinopteri; Cichliformes; Cichlidae
Source: Ensembl